AGAGUUUGAUCCUGGCUCAGGACGAACGCUGGCGGCGUGCCUAAUACAUGCAAGUAGAACGCUGAAGAGAGGAGCUUGCUCUUCUUGGAUGAGUUGCGAACGGGUGAGUAACGCGUAGGUAACCUGCCUUGUAGCGGGGGAUAACUAUUGGAGACGAUAGCUAAUACCGCAUAACAAUGGAUGACACGUGUCAUUUAUUUGAAAGGGGCAAUUGCUCCACUACAAGAUGGACCUGCGUUGUAUUAGCUAGUAGGUGAGGUAACGGCUCACCUAGGCGACGAUACAUAGCCGACCUGAGAGGGUGAUCGGCCACACUGGGACUGAGACACGGCCCAGACUCCUACGGGAGGCAGCAGUAGGGAAUCUUCGGCAAUGGGGGCAACCCUGACCGAGCAACGCCGCGUGAGUGAAGAAGGUUUUCGGAUCGUAAAGCUCUGUUGUAAGUCAAGAACGAGUGUGAGAGUGGAAAGUUCACACUGUGACGGUAGCUUACCAGAAAGGGACGGCUAACUACGUGCCAGCAGCCGCGGUAAUACGUAGGUCCCGAGCGUUGUCCGGAUUUAUUGGGCGUAAAGCGAGCGCAGGCGGUUUGAUAAGUCUGAAGUUAAAGGCUGUGGCUCAACCAUAGUUCGCUUUGGAAACUGUCAAACUUGAGUGCAGAAGGGGAGAGUGGAAUUCCAUGUGUAGCGGUGAAAUGCGUAGAUAUAUGGAGGAACACCGGUGGCGAAAGCGGCUCUCUGGUCUGUAACUGACGCUGAGGCUCGAAAGCGUGGGGAGCGAACAGGAUUAGAUACCCUGGUAGUCCACGCCGUAAACG
RNAcentral lists this ribosomal RNA (817 nucleotides) under uncultured bacterium. Its description in RNAcentral is "bacterial SSU rRNA". It matches the Rfam family "Bacterial small subunit ribosomal RNA", at positions 8 to 808 of the family's 1533-position model. The record is from RNAcentral.